Molecule: ribosomal RNA, 447 nt
Filed under: uncultured bacterium
Lineage: Bacteria
Description: bacterial SSU rRNA
Rfam family: Bacterial small subunit ribosomal RNA
Source: RNAcentral
GUCCAGACUCCUACGGGAGGCAGCAGUGGGGGAUAUUGCACAAUGGGGGGAACCCUGAUGCAGCGACGCCGCGUGGGUGAAGGAGCGUUUCGGCGCGUAAAGCCCUAUCGGCAGGGAAGAAGGAGGACGGUACCUGACUAAGAAGCCCCGGCUAACUACGUGCCAGCAGCCGCGGUAAUACGUAGGGGGCUAGCGUUAUCCGGAAUUACUGGGCGUAAAGGGAGCGUAGACGGCGGCGCAAGUCUGAAGUGAAAGCCCGUGGCUCAACCGCGGAACCGCUUUGGAAACUGCGAGGCUGGAGUGCUGGAGAGGUAAGCGGAAUUCCUGGUGUAGCGGUGAAAUGCGUAGAUAUCAGGAGGAACACCGGUGGCGAAGGCGGCUUACUGGACAGUGACUGACGUUGAGGCUCGAAAGCGUGGGGAGCGAACAGGAUUAGAUACCCGGGUA